Molecule: long non-coding RNA, 1704 nt
Organism: Tachysurus fulvidraco (yellow catfish)
Lineage: Eukaryota; Metazoa; Chordata; Actinopteri; Siluriformes; Bagridae
Exons: 4
Source: RefSeq, a predicted model, not a curated record
UAUGUAGCUAACAAUUGUCAAUAAAGAAAGAGAUGCAAAUAGAGCAAGAUAGUUUAGAGGGAGGUGCAGAGCAACAACCAGCCCAUACACAGACACUGACACACACACACACACACACCAAACACUAAGACACUUACAGCACAGAUAAUGAAACUGCUAAGAUCUAGCAUGCAGCUCUGCCAGACAUUGUUUUUAUUUUUAUUUUUUUCCCUCUUGGACAUGACUCAGGGUUCCUUUCAACUUGUCCGAGUGGUUCCUGUUGAGAGUCAUGGCACCUUUCAACAUGAUGUGUAUCAAUGUAUAACAGAACCUGAGAUGGAAAACCCAAAAUACAGCUGGAGCAGAAAGGAUUGGUCUGGACUUCCGGAAGGAGUCAAAGCAGAAGGGGAUUUUCUAUAUUUCUUAAAAUCGACUCCUGAUCACAAUGGUCUGUACAUCUGUGAGGUUGUGAACCAUAAACGUGCUGCAGCAGGUUCACUCUAUCGACACAUCAAAAUAAGGAAUAGCUCUGAAAUUCAUUCAGAGCUCUAACAGGUAUCAGAGAAGCAGCUUCCUGGAAAAAUGUGAAAAAAUACUCUGCAUAAUAAAGAAGAAACAGGAAGAAAGUGAUUUUCUGUUGAUUUGUGAAAUAUAAUAUAUAUAAAGCACACGUACAUGCCCAAAUUAAAACAAAUAAUAAUAAUAAUAAUAAUAAUAAUAAUAAUAAUAAUAAUAAGUAUUAUUAUUAUUAUUAUUAUUUACAUCCUUGAACACACUUGUGAUACAAGAGUUCAGAUUCUCUAUUGAAUCUGAGCUUUGAUUUGGCCAAUUAUCACACAUUUAUGUUCUUAUAUUUGAAUCAAGAAUUGUGUAGCAUUGUCUGUAUGUUUAGGACUGUUAUCCUAUUAGAAAUUGAACAUCUGGACCAUUUUCAAGUGCCUUUUGGACUGGAACCCUGACCAGUUUCCCAGUCCCUGCUGGUGAAACUCAUCUCCACACAAUGAUGCUUCCAACAUCAUGCAACACAGGAUGAUGUUCUAGAGAAGCACAUGUUUGUUUAGUUUCUAAAAUUCCUUUCUGAAAACCUUUUUUCAUUAAGGGCUUUCUACUCAAGUUGUUGCAUAAAGUUCAGUUUUGUGGAGUGUCCCAGGUUAUGGCUGUCCUGUGAAUAUAUCAGGAUAAAGAUAGCAUUAUCACAGAAUGUUACAAGUUUUAACAUACAAUUUUUCAUGGUAUCAUAAAAUUAUGAACAGUAACAUUUCAUGAUAUAAUGUUUAAAAAAACAAAUUGAUUUCAUGGUAUUGCCAGGUUAAAAGUGCUAAUCAAAAAUAGUAUGUUAAAAUUAGAACCUCGAUGCAGCGUCACAUGAUUUCAAAGAAAGGCAGCAUAUGUGUGUGGUAUGUUGUGUAAUACUGAAUGUAAACCUACUGCACUUAUCUGAAAAAUUCCAAAGUUCAAAGUUAUGUAGUUUUAAAGUUAUCUACUAAUUUUGCACAACGUCCUUUAUAUACAGAAUGCACACUGGUGUAUUUGUCUUGUAGUGUUUUGUAUUGUCUUUAUAGUGUUUAUAGCGUUUUUGUCUCACACUGUUGCAGCAGGUUACAUGUUUCACUUUAUGUGGCUAGAAAUUUUGUAGCUCUGUGUUUGUUUUUUUGUGACCUUGGAGAAGUGGGUUCUACGUCAGCUAUAUAUAGUUGAAAUGGCAAUAAAAGAUUCUUGACAUGA